UUCACUGGGUUUAAAGGGUGCGUAGGCGGGUUUGUAAGUCAGUGGUGAAAUCCCCGAGCUUAACUUGGGAACUGCCAUUGAUACUGCAAGUCUUGAAUUUUCUGGAGGUAAGCGGAAUAUGUCAUGUACCGGUGAAAUGCUUAGAUAUGACAUAGAACACCCAUUGCGAAGGCAGCUUACUACGGGAAUAUUGACGCUGAGGCACGAAAGCGUGGGGAUCAAACAGGAUUAGAUACCCUGGUAGUCCACGCCCUAAACGAUGAUUACUCGACAUUAGCGAUAUUACAGUUAGUGUCUAAGCGAAAGCAUUAAGUAAUCCACCUGGGAAGUACGACCGCAAGGUUGAAACUCAAAGGAAUUGGCGGGGGUCCGCACAAGUGGUGGAGCAUGUGGUUUAAUUCGAUGAUACGCGAGGAACCUUACCUGGGCUAGAAUGCUGGGAGACUGAUGGUGAAAGCCAUCUUUGUAGCAAUACACUGCCAGUAAGGUGCUGCAUGGCUGUCGUCAGCUCGUGCCGUGAGGUGUUGGGUUAAGUCCCGCAACGAGCGCAACCCCUAUCUUUAGUUGCCAUCAGGUAAUGCUGGGAACUCUAAAGAAACUGCCGUCGUAAGACGUGAGGAAGGAGGGGAUGAUGUCAAGUCAUCAUGGCCUUUAUGCCCAGGGCUACACACGUGCUACAAUGGGAAGGACAAAGGGCUGCCACUUAGCGAUAAGGAGCUAAUCCCAAAAACCUUCUCUCAGUUCAGAUUGGAGUCUGCAACUCGACUCCAUGAAGCUGGAAUCACUAGUAAUCG
This 794-nucleotide ribosomal RNA is filed under the name uncultured Bacteroidota bacterium. Its description in RNAcentral is "bacterial SSU rRNA". It matches the Rfam family "Bacterial small subunit ribosomal RNA", at positions 550 to 1344 of the family's 1533-position model. The record is from RNAcentral. Lineage: Bacteria; Pseudomonadati; Bacteroidota.